RNAcentral lists this ribosomal RNA (149 nucleotides) under uncultured bacterium. RNAcentral's name for it is "partial 16S ribosomal RNA". It matches the Rfam family "Bacterial small subunit ribosomal RNA", at positions 384 to 524 of the family's 1533-position model. The record is from RNAcentral.
UGAUGCAGCCAUGCCGCGUGUGUGAAGAAGGCCUUCGGGUUGUAAAGCACUUUCAGCGAGGAGGAAAGGUUACUGGCUAAUAUCCAGUAUGCUGUGACGUUACUCGCAGAAUAAGCACCGGCUAACUUCGUGCCAGCAGCCGCGAUAAU